This is a long non-coding RNA of Gallus gallus (chicken), 550 nucleotides long. RefSeq lists it as uncharacterized. The record is from RefSeq and is a predicted model, not a curated record. The transcript is spliced from 2 exons. Lineage: Eukaryota; Metazoa; Chordata; Aves; Galliformes; Phasianidae.
CCAAGUGUACUCUCUGUAAGGCAGCCUGCCUUUGCUUAGGAGAUGACUUUAGUUCCCCAUUUGCUCCAGAAUCACUUCUAGAACACAGAAGAGAACAUAAUGAUGGCAUUUAGUGAAGUCAUUGGGUUUAUUCUUGCACACUGCUGCAAUUACAGCAUCAUCUCAAUGGCUACGUACUCCAAGCUGCUCACUAUCGAAGCAUCUUUCAUCAAUGUGAUAAUUUAACGUGGCAAUGUUCUCUCCAUUACAGGAGGGCAGUUCCAAACCUCUGAGCAUUUUUCAGCAGCAAGCAGGACCUGUGGCAAUUCCCAUCACACUUGGCUUCCAAUUAACUGCUGAAUAUGAGGAUGACGUUGGAUGAGAACAGGAGCAGGACAUUCUUAUGGGGUGUCUUUCCCCUGCAGCCAGCUACAGACCUUGCCCUUCAAAGCUGUACGCUGCAAAGAUGCAGCUUGCCAGGAAAAGGAAAGCACAGCAAACACAGCACAAGCUGGAUUGAAAAAAAAAGGGACUGAGAAACUGGAAUAAAGGGCAGCACAAUUAAACACUU